AGUAGUUUGAUCAUGGCUCAGACGAACGCUGGCGGCGUGCUUAACACAUGCAAGUCGAACGAGGCGAUUAGAAGCUUGCUUUUAUGAGCCUAGUGGCAAACGGGUGAGUAACGCGUAGGCAACCUGCCUCUAAGAUGGGGACAACAGCCCGAAAGGACUGCUAAUACCGAAUGUUGUGAGUUUUCCGCAUGGGAGACUCAUUAAAGAUGGCCUCUACUUGUAAGCUAUCACUUAGAGAUGGGCCUGCGUCUGAUUAGCUAGUUGGUGGGGUAACGGCUCACCAAGGCGACGAUCAGUAGCCGGUCUGAGAGGAUGAACGGCCACAUUGGGACUGAGACACGGCCCAGACUCC
RNAcentral lists this ribosomal RNA (352 nucleotides) under uncultured Selenomonas sp. Its description in RNAcentral is "bacterial SSU rRNA". It matches the Rfam family "Bacterial small subunit ribosomal RNA", at positions 1 to 339 of the family's 1533-position model. Lineage: Bacteria; Bacillati; Bacillota; Negativicutes; Selenomonadales; Selenomonadaceae. The record is from RNAcentral.